Molecule: ribosomal RNA, 407 nt
Filed under: uncultured bacterium
Lineage: Bacteria
Description: partial 16S ribosomal RNA
Rfam family: Bacterial small subunit ribosomal RNA
Source: RNAcentral
AUUGCACGCUGGCGGCAGGCCUCACACAUGCAAGUCGAGCGGAGCGGCGGAAGGGUGAGUAAUGCCUAGGAAUCUGCCUGGUAGUGGGGGAUAACGUCCGGAGACGGGCGAUAAUACCGCAUAAUAUAAGAUGAGCAUAGGUCGGAUUAGCUAGUGGGUGGGAUAAGGGCCUACCAAUGCGACGAUCAGUAAGUGGUCUGAGCGGAUGAUCAGUAACACGGGAACUGAGACACGGUCCAGACUCCUACGGGAGGCAGCAGUGGGGAAUAUUGGACAAUGGGCGAAAGCCUGAUCCAGCCAGGCCGCGUGUGUGAAGAAGGUCUUCGGAUUGUAAAGCACUUUAAGUUGGGAGGCGUUACCAACAGAAUAAGCACCGGCUAACUUCGUGCCAGCAGCCGCGGUAAUAC